GUUAGGAAUAUUGGACAAUGGGCGAAAGCCUGAUCCAGCCAUGCCGCGUGAACGAUGAAGGCCUUAGGGUUGUAAAAUUCUUUCACCGGGGACGAUAAUGACGGUACCCGGAGAAGAAGCUCCGGCUAACUUCGUGCCAGCAGCCGCGGUAAUACGAAGGGGGCUAGCGUUGCUCGGAAUUACUGGGCGUAAAGGGCGCGUAGGCGGACAGCUUAGUCAGAGGUGAAAGCCCAGGGCUCAACCUUGGAAUUGCCUUUGAUACUGGCGGGCUUGAGUUUGGGAGAGGUGAGUGGAACUCCGAGUGUAGAGGUGAAAUUCGUAGAUAUUCGGAAGAACACCAGUGGCGAAGGCGGCUCACUGGCCCAAUACUGACGCUGAGGCGCGAAAGCGUGGGGAGCAAACAGGAUUAGAAACCCCGGUAGUCC
This 425-nucleotide ribosomal RNA is filed under the name uncultured bacterium. RNAcentral's name for it is "partial 16S ribosomal RNA". It matches the Rfam family "Bacterial small subunit ribosomal RNA", at positions 354 to 796 of the family's 1533-position model. The record is from RNAcentral.